GGGGUAGACAUGGAUUUGACAGCAUGAUGAAUAGGUAUGUAAGCAUGUCGGGCGCAGUGAAGCCGGCCCGUUAAUCCCGGACACAAAAUUUCAAUUGGCGAAAACAACUACGCUCUCGCUGCCUGAUCGAAUCAUAGUAGAGAUGGCUUAAUCCCCACCAAGAAGGCGGGGACGAGACAUUCCGCCGGGGGUUCCACCUUGUACCGCCCGGGUUCGGGGUGCAGGUAACACGAGGUUAGUUCGCGUCAUGCCCCGGGACGCGAAUGAAAUUCAGGAGCUAAGGCGUGAUUUGGGUGCUUUUCCCCGUGUCGCGUUCGAAAACCAACGAGAAGCUAAGCGUGUAGAAAGCAUAUUGAUUCCAUGUUUGGACCAGGGUUCGAUUCCCUGCUACUCCACUU
RNAcentral lists this transfer-messenger RNA (398 nucleotides) under Odoribacteraceae bacterium. It matches the Rfam family "transfer-messenger RNA". Rfam says of the family: Bacterial tmRNA, also known as 10Sa RNA or SsrA, is named for its dual tRNA and mRNA-like properties. Its role is to liberate the mRNA from a stalled ribosome. To accomplish this part of the tmRNA is used as a reading frame that ends in a translation stop signal. The record is from RNAcentral. Lineage: Bacteria; Pseudomonadati; Bacteroidota; Bacteroidia; Bacteroidales; Odoribacteraceae.